UACGAAGGGGGCUAGCGUUGCUCGGAAUCGCUGGGCGUAAAGCGCACGUAGGCGGGUCGCUAAGUCGGGGGUGAAAUCCUGGAGCUCAACUCCAGAACUGCCUUCGAUACUGGCGAUCUUUGAGUCCGGGAGAGGUGGGUGGAACUGCGAGUGUAGAGGUGAAAUGCGCAGAUAUCAGGAAGAACACCAAUGGCGAAGGCAGCUCUCUGGGACGGUACUGACGCUGAGACGCGAAAGCGUGGGGAGCGAACAGG
Molecule: ribosomal RNA, 254 nt
Filed under: uncultured bacterium
Lineage: Bacteria
Description: partial 16S ribosomal RNA
Rfam family: Bacterial small subunit ribosomal RNA
Source: RNAcentral